GAUAAACGCUGGCGGCGCACAUAAGACAUGCAAGUCGAACGGAGAGAAGUUGUUUGUUUACAAGCAAUGGAUCUUAGUGGCGGACUGGUGAGUAAAACGUAAGUAACUUUCCUAGAAGAGAGGAAUAACAGUGAGAAAUCAUUGCUAAAACCACAUGAUCUAUAUUUAUUGCAUGAUAGAUAUAGCAAAAGAGAAAUCUGCUUUUAGAUGGACUUACGGCUGAUUAGCUAGUUGGUAAGGUAGAGGCUUACCAAGGCAACGAUCAGUAGCCGAACUGAGAGGUUGAACGGCCACAUUGGGACUGAGAUACGGCCCAGACUCCUACGGGAGGCAGCAGUCGGGAAUAUUGCGCAAUGGAGGAAACUCUGACGCAGUGACGCCGCGUAUAGGAAGAAGGUUUUAGGAUUGUAAACUAUUUUAGACAGGGAAGAAAAAAAUGACGGUACCUGUAGAAUAAGCCCCGGCAAACUAUGUGCCAGCAGCCGCGGUAAAAC
Molecule: ribosomal RNA, 494 nt
Filed under: uncultured bacterium
Lineage: Bacteria
Description: bacterial SSU rRNA
Rfam family: Bacterial small subunit ribosomal RNA
Source: RNAcentral